GAUGAAGAACGUAGUGAAAUGCGAUAAGUAAUGUGAAUUGCAGAAUUCCGUGAAUCAUCGAAUCUUUGAACGCACAUUGCGCCCCCUGGUAUUCCAUGGGGCAUGCCUGUUCGAGCGUCAUUUGUACCUUCAAGCUUUGCUUGGUGUUGGGUGUUUGUCUCGCCUUUGCGUGUAGACUCGCCUUAAAAUAAUUGGCAGCCGGCGUAUUGAUUUCGGAGCGCAGUACAUCUCGCGCUUUGCACUCAUAACGACAGCGUCCAAAAGUACAUUUUACACUCUUGACCUCGGAUCAGGUAGGGAUACCCGCUGAACUUAAGCAUAUCAAUAAGCGGAGGA
Molecule: unclassified non-coding RNA, 336 nt
Filed under: soil metagenome
Description: partial contains 5.8S ribosomal RNA, internal transcribed spacer 2, and large subunit ribosomal RNA
Rfam family: 5.8S ribosomal RNA (bases 1-120)
Source: RNAcentral